CCCAAACCAGUCGGCGGCGGCCCUGCGCUCCCCGCCCCGGCCCUGCCCACACCGCCCGAGGCUUGGUCGGCCGGAGCCGGCUUCGCCCCCGCGUCCCCCCCGCAGGAUGUGGCGGGCUGAGCCGUGAGCGCUCGGCGCGAUGACUUUGCGCCUUAACCGAACCAGGCCUUUCCAGGCCGGAGGUGGCAGGAAAGUGAGGUGUGACCUGCGGUGUGCCAGAGCCAGCUCGAACCGAUGCCAGAAAACCGACUGUUAGAUUGUCAGGGGUUUUGCAAACCGUCGACUGCAGCUGGAAAUGCUACCACAAUCAUGUGCUGUGCACAUCUCUUCCCCACUGGGCGUUCUGGGCGUCCGUGUCGGGGGUGUUUACACCACAGAAAUGGGCAACAGGUGGUUAAACAUUUACCACCCCCUGCCGAGUGUAACCCACCUCCCAGAGGCAGGGCGGAGACCUUCCCGCUCUGAGUCACGCUCCUGCGAUAAGACCCGGAUCUAACUGAACCUCCACACAGUGGACUAUGCACGCAGAGGCGACGUGCGUUCAUAAAAAUCUUAGGCUGAUUCAGAAAAUGCCAUCUGUUCUUCCCAAGUGCUAGGACAACACAGAAAGUGCAGACGGAGGGCGGGUCCGCUUCAGUGAAGAGCAAACAAGUGGUGUGAGUAGCCCUCAGUGUAAGUAGGUUCGGCCAAAGCUGUGGACGGAGCUGGCAAUAAUCUCUGUUCUGGAGUCCAGCCCUGUCUGCCCUGGAUUAGACCCGUCCUUGGGUUUCGUAGGAGCCCGGCAUAGCGCUCACUCUGCCUCAUCAGACACCUCAUCCCUGCGCUGAAGCC
This is a long non-coding RNA of Myotis daubentonii (Daubenton's bat), 831 nucleotides long. RefSeq lists it as uncharacterized. The record is from RefSeq and is a predicted model, not a curated record. Lineage: Eukaryota; Metazoa; Chordata; Mammalia; Chiroptera; Vespertilionidae.